UCUCUCUGAAUCUGCGAACGGCUCCGCAAAACAGUUGUAAACUAUAGCAAGCACGCUUAUCAGGCCGCAAGGCUUGGUGGGCUAUAUGGAUAACCCUGGUAAUUCUGAGGCUAAUACAAGAACGUAACCCCUGUCUGACUGGGUAACUGGAAGGGCGGGGAGCGUGCAACACGGCGCAAAAGAGACUGGGAAUCGGUGCACGCUCAGACCACCAUACAAACGGUUGACCUGGGCUUCGGCUCGGGGCUUCUGGGUGGCUCUUGCAAUGUGCUUCUGACCUAUCAACUAGAUGGCAGCGUAAGGGACAUGCUAUGGUUACAACGGGUACAGAGGAUAAGGGUUCGAUCCUGGAGAGUGGGCCUGAGAGAUU
This 370-nucleotide ribosomal RNA is filed under the name Leocarpus fragilis. Its description in RNAcentral is "SSU rRNA". It matches the Rfam family "Eukaryotic small subunit ribosomal RNA", at positions 76 to 405 of the family's 1831-position model. Lineage: Eukaryota; Evosea; Eumycetozoa; Physariida; Physaraceae. The record is from RNAcentral.